Molecule: non-coding RNA, 71 nt
Organism: Cnephaeus nilssonii (northern bat)
Lineage: Eukaryota; Metazoa; Chordata; Mammalia; Chiroptera; Vespertilionidae
Source: the annotation of a GenBank genome assembly
GCAUUGAUGGCUCAGUGGUAGAAUUCUUGUCUGUCACACGAGAGGCCUGGAUUCGAUCCCAGGCCAAUGCA